CCUACGGGAGGCAGCAGUAAGGAAUAUUGGUCAAUGGAGGCAACUCUGAACCAGCCAUGCCGCGUGCAGGAUGACGGCCCUAUGGGUUGUAAACUGCUUUUAUACAAGAGAAAACCCUGGUACGUGUACCAGGUUGAUAGUAUUGUAAGAAUAAGCAUCGGCUAACUUCGUGCCAGCAGCCGCGGUAAGACGAAGGAUGCAAGCGUUAUCCGGAUUCAUUGGGUUUAAAGGGUGCGUAGGCGGACUGAUAAGUCAGUGGUGAAAUCUCUUUGCUUAACAAAGAAACUGCCAUUGAUACUGUCGGUCUAGAGUAUAGAUGACGUUGGCGGAAUAUGACAUGUAGUGGUGAAAUACUUAGAUAUGUCAUAGAACACCGAUUGCGAAGGCAGCUAACGAAACUAUAACUGACGCUGAGGCACGAAAGUGCGGGGAUCAAACAGGAUUAGAUACCCUGGUAGUCCGCACCGUAAACGAUGAUUACUCGUUGUUGGCGAUAUGACAGUCAGCGACCAAGCGAAAGCGAUAAGUAAUCCACCUGGGGAGUACGCCGGCAACGGCGAAACUCAAAGGAAUUGACGGCGNGAGAGNGCGAGGACGACGACGAGGGGAGGAGG
This 614-nucleotide ribosomal RNA is filed under the name uncultured bacterium. RNAcentral describes it as "bacterial SSU rRNA". It matches the Rfam family "Bacterial small subunit ribosomal RNA", at positions 338 to 956 of the family's 1533-position model. The record is from RNAcentral.